CCGAGUUUACAACUCCCAAACCCCUGUGAACAUACCUAUCGUUGCUUCGGCGGGUUUCGCCCCGGUCUCUCGCGGACCGGACCCAGGCGCCCGCCGGAGGACCCAAACUCUUGUUUUUAUGAGUAUCUUCUGAGUAAACAAGCAAAUAAAUUA
This 153-nucleotide unclassified non-coding RNA is filed under the name uncultured Ascomycota. RNAcentral's name for it is "sequence contains ITS1". The record is from RNAcentral. Lineage: Eukaryota; Fungi; Ascomycota.